RNAcentral lists this ribosomal RNA (301 nucleotides) under uncultured bacterium. RNAcentral's name for it is "partial 16S ribosomal RNA". It matches the Rfam family "Bacterial small subunit ribosomal RNA", at positions 509 to 807 of the family's 1533-position model. The record is from RNAcentral.
CAGUAGCCGCGGGAAUACGAAGGGGGCUAGCGUUGCUCGGAAUGACUGGGCGUAAAGGGCGCGUAGGCGGUUUUGACAGUCAGAUGUGAAAUUCCUGGGCUUAACCUGGGGGCUGCAUUUGAGACGUCAAGACUAGAGUGUGAGAGAGGGUUGUGGAAUUCUCAGUGUAGAGGUGAAAUUCGUAGAUAUUGGGAAGAACACCGGUGGCGAAGGCGGCAACCUGGCUCAUUACUGACGCUGAGGCGCGAAAGCGUGGGGAGCAAACAGGAUCAGAUACCCCAGUAGUCCCUGUCUCUUAUAC